GAAGUUGUGCACUUUCUAGACGAGAAGCAUCCAAACCACUAUCAAGUCUACAAUCUAUGCAGUGUGGUGAAAGAGCUUAUGAUCCUAAGCACUUCCAUAAUAGCGUUGGUAGACUCAUGAUUGAUGAUCAUAAUGUCCCCACUCUGAGAUGGUGGUUUUCACCAAGGAAGUAAAUGAGUGGAUGGCUCAAGAUCUUGAAAACAUCGUAGCGAUUCACUGUAAAGGAGGCAAAGGAAGAACCGGAACUAUGAUUUGUGCCUUCCUUAUUGCCUCCGAAAUAUUUUUAACUGCAGAGGAAAGCCUGUAUUAUUUUGGAGAAAGGCGAACAGAUAAAACGCACAGCAGUAAAUUUCAGGGACUAGAAACUCCUUCUCAGAUAUGUUGGAUAUUUUGCACAAGUGAAACAUCUCUACAACUGGAAUCUCCCUCCAAGACGGAUACUCUUUAUAAUAAGAUUCAUUAUUUAUUCGAUUCGUGGUGUUGGAACAGGCGAUGUAUGUGAUCUAAAAUUCCAAAUAGUAAUGGAGAAAAAGGUUGUCUUUUCCAGUACUUCAUUAGGAAAUUGUUCAAUACUGCAUGACAUUGAAACAGCUGGUGUAUUAACUAAUGUAUAUGACAGUCCAUCUCUGUACGAUGAUGUGAAAGUGCAGUUUUUCUCUUCGAAUCUUCCUAAAUACUAUGACAAUUGUUCAUUUUUCUUCUGGUUCAACACAUCUUUUAUUCAAAAUAACAGGCUUUAUCUACCAAGAAAUGAAUUGGAUAAUCCACAUCAACAAAAAGCAUGGAAAAUUUAUCCACCAGAAUUUGCCGUGGAGAUACUUUUUGGCGAGAAAUGACUUCCAAUGACGUAGCUGGAUCCGAUUAAGUAUAGUUUCCCCUUCCCCUUCUGGGAAAGAAUUAAUGUUCUUUCCAACCCCUGCCAUGUGCAUGUUCAUAUGUCCUAAGUCUUCCUUGAUGAUGUAUCUAUAUUUAUAUAUGUUUAUAUAUGUUCUUCAUAAAUCUAUUAA
Molecule: long non-coding RNA, 1007 nt
Filed under: Homo sapiens (human)
Lineage: Eukaryota; Metazoa; Chordata; Mammalia; Primates; Hominidae
Description: non-protein coding lnc-ATP12A-1:4
Source: RNAcentral